This 401-nucleotide ribosomal RNA is filed under the name uncultured bacterium. RNAcentral's name for it is "bacterial SSU rRNA". It matches the Rfam family "Bacterial small subunit ribosomal RNA", at positions 30 to 431 of the family's 1533-position model. The record is from RNAcentral.
AUUGAACGCUGGCGGCAUGCCUUACACAUGCAAGUCGAACGGCAGCACGGGAGCAAUCCUGGUGGCGAGUGGCGAACGGGUGAGUAAUAUAUCGGAACGUGCCCGGUCGUGGGGAUAACGUAGCGAAAGCUACGCUAAUACCGCAUACGAUCUACGGAUGAAAGCGGGGGAUCGCAAGACCUCGCGCGAAUUGGAGCGGCCGAUAUCAGAUUAGGUAGUUGGUGAGGUAAAGGCUCACCAAGCCGACGAUCUGUAGCUGGUCUGAGAGGACGACCAGCCACACUGGGACUGAGACACGGCCCAGACUCCUACGGGAGGCAGCAGUGGGGAAUAUUGGACAAUGGGCGAAAGCCUGAUCCAGCAAUGCCGCGUGAGUGAUGAAGGCCUUAGGGUUGUAAAGC